GGGGGUGUAGCUCAGUGGUAGAGUGCUUGCCUAGCAAGUAUAAGGCUGUGCUUUUCAUCCCUA
Molecule: transfer RNA, 63 nt
Filed under: Ictidomys tridecemlineatus (thirteen-lined ground squirrel)
Lineage: Eukaryota; Metazoa; Chordata; Mammalia; Rodentia; Sciuridae
Description: Spermophilus tridecemlineatus (thirteen-lined ground squirrel) tRNA
Rfam family: tRNA
About the family: Transfer RNA (tRNA) molecules are approximately 80 nucleotides in length. Their secondary structure includes four short double-helical elements and three loops (D, anti-codon, and T loops).
Source: Rfam by way of RNAcentral